GAUGAAGAACGUAGCGAAAUGCGAUAAGUAGUGUGAAUUGCAGAAUUCAGUGAAUCAUCGAAUCUUUGAACGCACAUUGCGCCCGCCAGUAUUCUGGCGGGCAUGCCUGUUCGAGCGUCAUUUCAACCAUCAAGCCCCCGGGCUUGUGUUGGGGACCUGCGGCUGCCGCAGGCCCUGAAAACCAGUGGCGGGCUCGCUAGUCACUCCGAGCGUAGUAGUUACAUCUCGCUCAGGGCGUGCUGCGGGUUCCGGCCGUUAAAAGCCUUUUACCCCAAGGUUGACCUCGGAUCAGGUAGGAAGACCCGCUGAACUUAAGCAUAUCAAUAAGCGGAGGA
Molecule: unclassified non-coding RNA, 335 nt
Filed under: soil metagenome
Description: partial contains 5.8S ribosomal RNA, internal transcribed spacer 2, and large subunit ribosomal RNA
Rfam family: 5.8S ribosomal RNA (bases 1-120)
Source: RNAcentral